This 357-nucleotide ribosomal RNA is filed under the name Escherichia coli. RNAcentral's name for it is "bacterial SSU rRNA". It matches the Rfam family "Bacterial small subunit ribosomal RNA", at positions 1032 to 1390 of the family's 1533-position model. The record is from RNAcentral. Lineage: Bacteria; Pseudomonadati; Pseudomonadota; Gammaproteobacteria; Enterobacterales; Enterobacteriaceae.
ACACAGGUGCUGCAUGGCUGUCGUCAGCUCGUGUCGUGAGAUGUUGGGUUAAGUCCCGCAACGAGCGCAACCCUUGUCAUUAGUUGCCAUCAUUCGGUUGGGCACUCUAAUGAGACUGCCGGUGACAAGCCGGAGGAAGGUGGGGAUGACGUCAAGUCCUCAUGGCCCUUAUGACCAGGGCUUCACACGUCAUACAAUGGUCGGUACAGAGGGUAGCCAAGCCGCGAGGCGGAGCCAAUCUCACAAAACCGAUCGUAGUCCGGAUUGCACUCUGCAACUCGAGUGCAUGAAGUCGGAAUCGCUAGUAAUCGCAGGUCAGCAUACUGCGGUGAAUACGUUCCCGGGUCUUGUACACAC